Molecule: ribosomal RNA, 468 nt
Filed under: uncultured bacterium
Lineage: Bacteria
Description: partial 16S ribosomal RNA
Rfam family: Bacterial small subunit ribosomal RNA
Source: RNAcentral
GACGAACGCUGGCGGCGUGCUUAACACAUGCAAGUCGAACGGAAAGGCCCUGCUUUUGUGGGGUGUUCGAGUGGCGAACGGGUGAGUAACACGUGAGUAACCUGCCCUUGACUUUGGGAUAACUUCAGGAAACUGGGGCUAAUACCGGAUAGGAGCUCCUGCUGCAUGGUGGGGGUUGGAAAGUUUCGGCGGUUGGGGAUGGACUCGCGGCUUAUCAGCUUGUUGGUGGGGUAGUGGCUUACCAAGGCUUUGACGGGUAGCCGGCCUGAGAGGGUGACCGGCCACAUUGGGACUGAGAUACGGCCCAGACUCCUACGGGAGGCAGCAGUGGGGAAUAUUGCACAAUGGGCGGAAGCCUGAUGCAGCAACGCCGCGUGCGGGAUGACGGCCUUCGGGUUGUAAUCCGCUUUCGCCUGUGACGAAGCGUGAGUGACGGUAAUGGGUAAAGAAGCACCGGCUAACUACGUG